UACGGAGGGGGCGAACGUUAUUCGGAUUUACUGGGCGUAAAGCGAUCGUAGGCGGAUUGUUAAGUUAGAUGUGAAAGCCCUGGGCUCAACCCAGGAACUGCAUUUAAAACUGGCAAUCUAGAGUGUUGGAGAGGAUGACGGAAUUCCAAGUGUAGAGGUGAAAUUCGUAGAUAUUUGGAGGAACAUCAGUGGCGAAGGCGGUUGUCUGGCCAAACACUGACGCUGAGGGUCGAAAGCGUGGGGAGCAAAC
Molecule: ribosomal RNA, 250 nt
Filed under: uncultured bacterium
Lineage: Bacteria
Description: partial 16S ribosomal RNA
Rfam family: Bacterial small subunit ribosomal RNA
Source: RNAcentral